CCUUAGCUCAGUUGGUAGAGCAACUGACUUUUAAUCAGUAGGUCGCUGGUUCGAACCCAGCAG
This 63-nucleotide transfer RNA is filed under the name Pontixanthobacter rizhaonensis. It matches the Rfam family "tRNA", at positions 6 to 65 of the family's 71-position model. From Rfam's summary of the family: Transfer RNA (tRNA) molecules are approximately 80 nucleotides in length. The record is from RNAcentral. Lineage: Bacteria; Pseudomonadati; Pseudomonadota; Alphaproteobacteria; Sphingomonadales; Erythrobacteraceae. RNAcentral also lists the same sequence under 3 other names.